UGGGGAAUUUUGGACAAUGGGGGAAACCCUGAUCCAGCCAUGCCGCGUGAGUGAAGAAGGCCUUCGGGUUGUAAAGCUCUUUCAGCCGGAACGAAACGGUCACGGCUAAUAUCCGUGACUACUGACGGUACCGGAAGAAGAAGCCCAGGCUAACUACGUGCCAGCAGCCGCGGUAAUACGUAGGGUGCAAGCGUUAAUCGGAAUUACUGGGCGUAAAGCGUGCGCAGGCGGUUUUGUAAGUCAGAUGCGAAAGCCCCGGGCUUAACCUGGGAACUGCGUUUGAAACUACAAGGCUAGAGUGUGGCAGAGGGGGGUGGAAUUCCACGUGUAGCAGUGAAAUGCGUAGAGAUGUGGAGGAACACCGAUGGCGAAGGCAGCCCCCUGGGUUAACACUGACGCUCAGGCACGAAAGCGUGGGGAGCAAA
RNAcentral lists this ribosomal RNA (425 nucleotides) under uncultured bacterium. RNAcentral describes it as "bacterial SSU rRNA". It matches the Rfam family "Bacterial small subunit ribosomal RNA", at positions 355 to 772 of the family's 1533-position model. The record is from RNAcentral.